This 496-nucleotide ribosomal RNA is filed under the name uncultured bacterium. RNAcentral describes it as "partial 16S ribosomal RNA". It matches the Rfam family "Bacterial small subunit ribosomal RNA", at positions 29 to 507 of the family's 1533-position model. The record is from RNAcentral.
AUGAACGCUGGCGGCGUGCCUAAUACAUGCAAGUCGAGCGAACAGACGAGGAGCUUGCUCCUCUGACGUUAGCGGCGGACGGGUGAGUAACACGUGGAUAACCUACCUAUAAGACUGGGAUAACUUCGGGAAACCGGAGCUAAUACCGGAUAAUAUCUUGAACCGCAUGGUUCAAUAGUGAAAGACGGUUUUGCUGUCACUUAUAGAUGGAUCCGCGCCGCAUUAGCUAGUUGGUAAGGUAACGGCUUACCAAGGCAACGAUGCGUAGCCGACCUGAGAGGGUGAUCGGCCACACUGGAACUGAGACACGGUCCAGACUCCUACGGGAGGCAGCAGUAGGGAAUCUUCCGCAAUGGGCGAAAGCUUGACGGAGCAACGCCGCGUGAGUGAUGAAGGUCUUCGGAUCGUAAAACUCUGUUAUUAGGGAAGAACAAAUGUGUAAGUAACUAUGCACGUCUUGACGGUACCUAAUCAGAAAGCCACGGCUAACUACGUG